This 96-nucleotide microRNA precursor is filed under the name Loxodonta africana (African savanna elephant). RNAcentral's name for it is "mir-544 microRNA precursor family". It matches the Rfam family "mir-544 microRNA precursor family". Lineage: Eukaryota; Metazoa; Chordata; Mammalia; Proboscidea; Elephantidae. The record is from Rfam by way of RNAcentral.
UUCUCUACAGAUCUUGUUAACAUGCAGAUUCUGAUUCAGUAGGUCUGGGUGGGGCCUGUGAUUCUGCAUGUCUAACAAGCUUCCAGGAGAUACCAA